AUUGAACGCUGGCGGCAUGCUUUACACAUGCAAGUCGAACGGCAGCGCGGGCUUCGGCCUGGCUGCGAGUGGCGAACGGGUGAGUAAUGCAUCGGAACGUGCCCAGCUAUGUGGGAUAGCCCGGCAAAAGCCGGAUUAAUACCGCAUACGACCUGAGGGUGAAAGCGUGGGACCGAAAGGCCUCGCGCUCUUGGACCGGCCGAUGUCGGAUUAGCUAGUUGGUGGGGUAAAGGCUUACCAAGGCGACGAUCCGUAGCUGGUCUGAGAGGACGACCAGCCACACUGGGACUGAGACACGGCCCAGACUCCUACGGGAGGCAGCAGUGGGGAAUUUUGGACAAUGGGGGCAACCCUGAUCCAGCCAUGCCGCGUGCGGGAAGAAGGCCUUCGGGUUGUAAACCGCUUUUGUUCGGGAAGAAAUCCUCUGGGCUAAUACCCCGGGGGGAUGACGGUACCGGAAGAAUAAGCACCGGCUAACUACGUG
RNAcentral lists this ribosomal RNA (484 nucleotides) under uncultured bacterium. Its description in RNAcentral is "partial 16S ribosomal RNA". It matches the Rfam family "Bacterial small subunit ribosomal RNA", at positions 29 to 507 of the family's 1533-position model. The record is from RNAcentral.